RNAcentral lists this long non-coding RNA (1177 nucleotides) under Phaseolus vulgaris (common bean). RNAcentral describes it as "long non-coding RNA (PVUL_LNC003589)". The record is from RNAcentral. Lineage: Eukaryota; Viridiplantae; Streptophyta; Magnoliopsida; Fabales; Fabaceae.
AAAGAGCAUGAUACAUAAGAGGUUGCAAAACAAAGAGUUUGUUUCCCUAUUCCUAGUUAGGCAUUAGCUUGAAAGCUGAGAAUGCCUCACAAGGAUAGCAACAAAACUGCACCUUGAAGUCAAGCACACCAGCUACUCUUUAAAAAAUUUAUGAUAUAACAGAAAACUCAUCCUAAUCUGCACCUGCAAAAAAGGCUGCAUCACACCAAAACAGCACCGCAACAUCCCCUUAGGGAUAGGUUCCUGGCCAGGUUUUAGUCCCCCUUCUUCACUCAUCAAAGAAAACCAAAGUAUCAACCCAUCAUACAACUUCCAUUUAUUAGUUGGUUUGGUGGUGGUUAUUCCAUCUGAUAACAGCACCUUCAGAUGCAUCUUAUGAGCUCCAGACAAAAAGGAAACAGCCGCAACACAUGAUUUGAACCUACCCUGCUUCUACCAAUCAAGACCCAGCAAAUCUGUCCUCCAGGCCGCAACUUAAACCAGCCUAGCUUAAUACAAAGCACAUAUUAAGCCCCUUGAGUGAUGCCUUGGCUGCCAAACAGGCUCCACAAACACUAAAAAAACCAACAGCUUAAUACAGCUCAAAACCUGAACCGAGAAGCCCCUAACACAGAUGAAAUAUACUGCACUUGAUGGCCCCAUACUACAAACCAUUGAACGACACCUGUAAGCAUCAACCAACAUUUCUUUCACCAAAACCAAGACAUCUUUGUCAACAUAACAUCAGCUUCAUGAUUACCAUUCAGAUUAUUAGACACAUUCAAUCCAGCCAGUGCUUGUAAAAUGAAUAUGCCCUACAUCUACCAAUCUGAACCAACAAUAAUCCCCUCCAAACAACAUCAACAUCCAUCCUAUCUUUUAGACUCCAACACUGUUUCUCAUAUUCCUUCAGCUUUGCAUACACCAACACUUGUUUAUCUACCAAACCCAGCAACCAGCUAAGCAAAGCUUAAUCCCAUCCAACCUUAAGUUGAAACAAGACUGCAACUCUGUUUAUAGCAUUGUGUACCUCUUGAAGCGCUGUUACCAGCCCUCUGUAGCACCCAAACCUGCACCCAGGACCCCUCUUAACCUAACACUGGUUCACUAAAAGGACCGCAGAUACUCAUACUGCCCCUCUACCACUCACACCUUAUUACUUAAUGCUUUUUAUACAUGUAACCGGAUUAAGAGUCCA